Molecule: ribosomal RNA, 449 nt
Filed under: uncultured bacterium
Lineage: Bacteria
Description: partial 16S ribosomal RNA
Rfam family: Bacterial small subunit ribosomal RNA
Source: RNAcentral
AACGAACGCUGGCGGCAUGCCUAACACAUGCAAGUCGAACGAGAUCUUCGGGUCUAGUGGCGCACGGGUGCGUAACGCGUGGGAAUCUGCCCUCUGGUUCGGAAUAACAGUUGGAAACGACUGCUAAUACCGGAUGAUGACGAAAGUCCAAAGAUUUAUCGCCAGAGGAUGAGCCCGCGUAGGAUUAGCUAGUUGGUGUGGUAAAGGCGCACCAAGGCGACGAUCCUUAGCUGGUCUGAGAGGAUGAUCAGCCACACUGGGACUGAGACACGGCCCAGACUCCUAUGGGAGGCAGCAGUGGGGAAUAUUGGACAAUGGGCGAAAGCCUGAUCCAGCAAUGCCGCGCGAGUGAUGAAGGCCUUAGGGUUGUAAAGCUCUUUUACCCGGGAUGAUAAUGACAGUACCGGGAGAAUAAGCUCCGGCUAACUCCGUGCCAGCCGCCGCCGUAA